Neltuma alba is the source of this 398-nucleotide long non-coding RNA. RefSeq lists it as uncharacterized. The transcript has 3 exons. Lineage: Eukaryota; Viridiplantae; Streptophyta; Magnoliopsida; Fabales; Fabaceae. The record is from RefSeq and is a predicted model, not a curated record.
AAGUAGAAGAGAGAGCGAGAGAAGAGAGAGAGAGAGAGAGAUCGAUGUGCGGAAGGGGCUUUGGUUGGAAAGGAAAAUGUGGGAGGGAGAGAGAGAGAGAUCAAAGGGAUACCAUAAGAAUCUGUGGUUUCAAUGGAGGGUCAAUAGAACGAGAGAAAAAGAUUUAGGGGUUAAAAUAGAACACACAGGGAGAAGAGAGAGAUUUGAGGGGAGAGAUAUAUAGGAGAGGAAGAGAGAGAGGCGGUGACGAUAUAUGGCUUAGGUGUUAUUCAGCCAGUGAUGGAAAUGGAUGUAUGGCUCAUAUGUGAAAUUUAUUAAAUACUCCUUCGCGAUUCGUUCACAUAUAUGGAGAAUUUCAAGGAGCAUAUGUAAACCAAGUCUCGUGGCUCCUUCUUCAU